GAAAGUAAAAGUCGUAACAAGGUCUCCGUUGGUGAACCAGCGGAGGGAUCAUUACAGGACUCGCAAGACUCCUACAACCCUGUGAACUUAACUAUAAGCACGUUGCUUCGGCGGGUGUCUCGGAGGGGGUUCUCCCUCCCCGAGACGCUAAACCCGCCGGCAGCCUACUAUACUCUGUCUCUUUGCGUUGGCAUCUCGAGUACAAUCAAACAAGUUAAAACUUUCAACAACGGAUCUCUUGGUUCUG
RNAcentral lists this unclassified non-coding RNA (247 nucleotides) under plant metagenome. Its description in RNAcentral is "partial contains small subunit ribosomal RNA, internal transcribed spacer 1, and 5.8S ribosomal RNA". The stretch from base 1 to 54 matches the Rfam family "Eukaryotic small subunit ribosomal RNA", at positions 1778 to 1831 of the family's 1831-position model. The record is from RNAcentral.